GGCCUGGACCUAUGCGGUCAGAACGCCUAAACCUUGUCAGGACCGGAAGGUAGCAGCAACACGGGAUGCUUCUGAUAGGCGUGGAAUCCGGGUCACU
RNAcentral lists this signal recognition particle RNA (97 nucleotides) under Limnospira platensis. RNAcentral's name for it is "signal recognition particle sRNA small type". It matches the Rfam family "Bacterial small signal recognition particle RNA". From Rfam's summary of the family: The signal recognition particle (SRP) is a universally conserved ribonucleoprotein involved in the co-translational targeting of proteins to membranes. Archaeal SRP consists of a 7S RNA and homologues of the eukaryotic SRP19 and SRP54 proteins. Lineage: Bacteria; Bacillati; Cyanobacteriota; Cyanophyceae; Oscillatoriales; Sirenicapillariaceae. The record is from RNAcentral. RNAcentral also lists the same sequence under 12 other names.